This 73-nucleotide transfer RNA is filed under the name Camelus bactrianus (Bactrian camel). It matches the Rfam family "tRNA". From Rfam's summary of the family: Transfer RNA (tRNA) molecules are approximately 80 nucleotides in length. RNAcentral also lists the same sequence under 1 other name. The record is from Rfam by way of RNAcentral. Lineage: Eukaryota; Metazoa; Chordata; Mammalia; Artiodactyla; Camelidae.
GAGGGUAUAGCUCAAGUGGUAGAGUGCCUGCUUAGCGUGCAUGAGGUCCUGGGUUCAAUCCCCAGUAUCUCCA